Molecule: non-coding RNA, 28 nt
Filed under: Homo sapiens (human)
Lineage: Eukaryota; Metazoa; Chordata; Mammalia; Primates; Hominidae
Source: RNAcentral
UCUGGUUGCAAUGCGUUUAGGACUGGGA